AUGGCGAGGGUUCCCCCUGUCGGGGCCCUAUAGCGGUUGAGAGGAUCAAGGCAGCAGUCAGGGCCUGAUGGUUGUCCAGAGGAAAGCACAAAGCAUACCGAGCGCUGGUCUGACAGCACUUAGGGGUGUGACAGAAACUUUCUGUCAUGGAACCAGAGAUUGGAGACCGUGGGAACACAUCCGAAUCCACAUCUCCCUGACAAGGUGGUGCUGAUCUCCAGUGGUCCUCCCUGGUCGGGGAAUCACAUAGCUCUGACUCUGGAGCGUGUUGUUGUGUUUCUCUUUCAGUAUGAGCUUGUCUGUGGCCCUGGAGUUCCUCCCU
Molecule: long non-coding RNA, 322 nt
Filed under: Homo sapiens (human)
Lineage: Eukaryota; Metazoa; Chordata; Mammalia; Primates; Hominidae
Description: non-protein coding lnc-ADRA2C-1:1
Source: RNAcentral